RNAcentral lists this ribosomal RNA (377 nucleotides) under uncultured bacterium. RNAcentral describes it as "bacterial SSU rRNA". It matches the Rfam family "Bacterial small subunit ribosomal RNA", at positions 523 to 898 of the family's 1533-position model. The record is from RNAcentral.
AUACGUAGGGGGCGAGCGUUGUCCGGAAUUAUUGGGCGUAAAGCGCGCGCAGGCGGUCCUUUAAGUCUGAUGUGAAAGCCCACGGCUCAACCGCGGAGGGUCAUUGGAAACUGGGGGACUUGAGUGCAGGGGAGGAGAGCGGAAUCCCACGUGUAGCGGUGAAAUGCGUAGAGAUGUGGAGGAACACCAGUGGCGAAGGCGGCUCUCUGGCCUGCAACUGACGCUGAGGCGCGAAAGCGUGGGGAGCAAACAGGAUUAGAUACCCUGGUAGUCCACGCCGUAAACGAUGAGUGCUAAGUGUUAGAGGGGUCACACCCUUUAGUGCUGCAGCUAGCGCGAUAAGCACUCCGCCUGGGGAGUACGGCCGCAAGGCUGAA